Molecule: long non-coding RNA, 571 nt
Organism: Sphaeramia orbicularis (orbiculate cardinalfish)
Lineage: Eukaryota; Metazoa; Chordata; Actinopteri; Kurtiformes; Apogonidae
Exons: 2
Source: RefSeq, a predicted model, not a curated record
GUAUUUGUUGUGAAAGCACUCAGUCAUUUUCUCCACUUCUGCAGAAUACUUCCCCUCCGUUUCAUCCUGGCUUUCAUACUGCAGCGCCCUAUGUGCUGCUUUUUUGUCUCUGGUUAAUUAACAUUUAACUAACACAUUGUUUUCUUUGUGAGAGUCUCCCUCGCCGCCUUCUUCUUCUUCUUCUUUUUUUUUUCUUGGCUUCCUCAUUACUUUGUCUUCUUCCCCUUCCUCUCCUCUUCGCUCGGUGUCGUCUUUGAUUUCAGCCCUGCGGCAAACUGAUCCAAACAUCUGCUGUGAAAAGCCUCUGCCGUCUUCCCCAAAAGUUAAACUGUUUCAACCAAAGUGCCCCGAGCGCAAAUAGAAAAGUAAAGCUGCGCACUGAGGCUGAGAACGCGAAGCGAUAUCAGUGCUGAAGUUCAGAGGAUUUGGAGGGAAAUUAGAUGGUGCCUGUGGACAUGGCCUCGAAGAGUCAUUUCUUCCUUUUCCCUCCAUUUCAAUCAAAUACAACCACAGAAAGCAGGUUUAUAGACACAAAAUAAGCGAUUCUCAUCUGUGGUCCAAAUAGUAAUAA